Long non-coding RNA from Amblyraja radiata (thorny skate), 413 nucleotides. RefSeq lists it as uncharacterized. The transcript has 3 exons. The record is from RefSeq and is a predicted model, not a curated record. NCBI's taxonomy places the organism in Eukaryota, Metazoa, Chordata, Chondrichthyes, Rajiformes, Rajidae.
GUAUAAUUGUAAAUUGUCCCGAGCGUGUGUGGCGUAGUAUUAGUGUGUGGGGAUCGCUGGGCCGAAGGGCCUGUCUCCGCGCUGUAUCUCUAAACAAAACUUAAAGCUCACCUCACCCUGGCGUGAGGCGGGCACGAGGAACUGCAGAUGCUGGUUUACAACAAAAAAAAGCGCAAAGUGCUGGAGUAACUGAGUGGGUCAGGCAGCGUCUCUGGAGCGAAGGAAUGGGUGAUUUCUUCCGACCCCUCUCUCCACCUGGACUCGCAUCCAUUUCUCCCCUCCCCCUUGCUUCCACCAACGAUCCUUCCUCCGGCUUCAUAAUAUGCUCCUCAUCUAUCCUUAUCUCACACCAGUGUCCCAAUAUCAGUGGAGGAAUAGAUCGGAUAGAUGCACAGAGUCUCUUAACCAGAGCA